This 496-nucleotide ribosomal RNA is filed under the name uncultured bacterium. RNAcentral describes it as "partial 16S ribosomal RNA". It matches the Rfam family "Bacterial small subunit ribosomal RNA", at positions 28 to 506 of the family's 1533-position model. The record is from RNAcentral.
GAUGAACGCUGGCGGCGUGCCUAAUACAUGCAAGUCGAGCGAACGGACGAGAAGCUUGCUUCUCUGAUGUUAGCGGCGGACGGGUGAGUAACACGUGGAUAACCUACCUAUAAGACUGGGAUAACUUCGGGAAACCGUAGCUAAUACCGGAUAAUAUUUUGAACCGCAUGGUUCAAAAGUGAAAGACGGUCUUGCUGUCACUUAUAGAUGGAUCCGCGCUGCAUUAGCUAGUUGGUAAGGUAACGGCUUACCAAGGCAACGAUGCAUAGCCGACCUGAGAGGGUGAUCAGCCACACUGGAACUGAGACACGGUCCAGACUCCUACGGGAGGCAGCAGUAGGGAAUCUUCCGCAAUGGGCGAAAGCCUGACGGAGCAACGCCGCGUGAGUGAUGAAGGUCUUCGGAUCGUAAAACUCUGUUAUUAGGGAAGAACAUAUGUGUAAGUAACUGUGCACAUCUUGACGGUACCUAAUCAGAAAGCCACGGCUAACUACGU